GGCUAUGCAUAUAGGGGUGUUACAUAUCUUAUUAGAUCUACUGGCACUUUGGGUUGCAUUGAUGACCUAGCCCCCAAAAGAGCAAAUGCUGGCAUCUCAAUGUUUUGCAGUAAUAUACUGGUCACGCACAGUGCGCAGAGCAGCCCCCAAAUGGCAAAUAAGCUGGCAUCCACAUAGAGGGGCAAAUGCUAAUAAUAUGAAAAAAAAAUGACUAUUUAGUGUUGCUGAUGCUGAUGCUAAUGCCA
This 245-nucleotide unclassified non-coding RNA is filed under the name Hevea brasiliensis (rubber tree). The record is from RNAcentral. Lineage: Eukaryota; Viridiplantae; Streptophyta; Magnoliopsida; Malpighiales; Euphorbiaceae.